RNAcentral lists this ribosomal RNA (422 nucleotides) under uncultured Edaphobaculum sp. Its description in RNAcentral is "bacterial SSU rRNA". It matches the Rfam family "Bacterial small subunit ribosomal RNA", at positions 355 to 774 of the family's 1533-position model. The record is from RNAcentral. Lineage: Bacteria; Pseudomonadati; Bacteroidota; Chitinophagia; Chitinophagales; Chitinophagaceae.
UGAGGAAUAUUGGUCAAUGGACGCAAGUCUGAACCAGCCAUGCCGCGUGAAGGACGAAGGCCUUCUGGGUUGUAAACUUCUUUUAUUGGGGAAGAAAAUUAUGGUUUCUACUAUAACCGACGGUACCCAAGGAAUCAGCACCGGCUAACUCCGUGCCAGCAGCCGCGGUAAUACGGAGGGUGCAAGCGUUAUCCGGAUUCACUGGGUUUAAAGGGUGUGUAGGCGGGUAUUUAAGUCAGUGGUGAAAUCUCCAGGCUCAACCUGGAAACUGCCAUUGAUACUAUUUAUCUUGAAUCUUGUUGAGGUGGGCGGAAUAUAUCAUGUAGCGGUGAAAUGCUUAGAUAUGAUAUAGAACACCGAUUGCGAAGGCAGCUCACUAAACAAGCAUUGACGCUGAGGCACGAAAGCGUGGGGAUCAAACA